UUUUACAUAUCGUCCAAUCUUUGACUCUAGCCAAAUAUAUGCUUUAUGCCUUACUGCUAUCGUAGUUAAUCCUUACACUUAUCUCAACAUAUAGAUUAGAUCAAAUAUUUUACCAAUUGAUUUCAUCAUCAAAAUAUGAGAUUUAACAAUCUCUCCCUUUUUGAUGAUGACAACCAAUUGAUGACGGAGUUAACAUUUAACUCCC
This 205-nucleotide long non-coding RNA is filed under the name Musa acuminata (dwarf banana). Its description in RNAcentral is "long non-coding RNA (MACU_LNC005596)". Lineage: Eukaryota; Viridiplantae; Streptophyta; Magnoliopsida; Zingiberales; Musaceae. The record is from RNAcentral.